RNAcentral lists this ribosomal RNA (1567 nucleotides) under Candidatus Falkowbacteria bacterium HGW-Falkowbacteria-1. RNAcentral's name for it is "bacterial SSU rRNA". It matches the Rfam family "Bacterial small subunit ribosomal RNA". The record is from RNAcentral. Lineage: Bacteria; Candidatus Falkowiibacteriota.
UAUUGAGAGUUUGAUCCUGGCUCAGGAUGAAUGCUGGCGGCGUGUCUAAGGCAUGCAAGUCGAAUGCUUUUAUACUCUUUUCUGCGUAAGAGCUAUGGAGAAAGAAUGUUAAAUAAAAUAAUGUUUUUUCUCCGAAAUUCAUACGCGGUAAUGAGUAUAAAUGCAUGGCAAACGGGAGAGUAACACAUUGAUAACCUACCCUGAAGACGAGGAUAACCUUGCGAAAGCGAGAAUAAUACUCGAUGGUAUUAAAAAACUUAUGUUUUUUAAUUAAAGCUCCGGCGCUUCGGGAGGGGUCUAUGUCCUAUCAGCUUGUUGGUGAGGUAAUGGCUCACCAAGGCGACGACGGGUACCGGGUGUGAGAGCAUGACCCGGCUCACUGGGACUGAGACACUGCCCAGACUCCUACGGGAGGCUGCAGUCAAGAAUAUUCCUCAAUGGGCGAAAGCCUGAAGGAGCGACGCCGCGUGUACGAAGAAGCCUUUCGGGGUGUAAAGUACUUUUAUUAGGGAUGAAACAAUGACAGUACCUAAUGAAUAAGGGGCUGCUAACCUCGUGCCAGCAGCAGCGGUAAUACGAGGGCCCCAAGCAUUAUCCGGAUUUAUUGGGCGUAAAGCGUCCGUAGACGGUUUUUCGCAUCUCCUGUUAAAUCCUCUGGCUCAACCAGGGGGCUGCGGGAGAGAUGGAUAAACUAGAGACUGGAAGAGGCAAGCGGAAUUGCUGGUGUAGGGGUUAAAUCCGUUAAUAUCAGCAGGAACACUCAAUGCGAAGGCAACUUGCUGGGACAGUUCUGACGUUCAGGGACGAAAGCGUGGGGAGCGAAUGGGAUUAGAUACCCCAGUAGUCCACGCCGUAAACGAUGGAUGCUAAGUAUUGGAAGUAUCGACCCUUUCAGUGCUGUUAAUUUAAGGUAACCCGUUAAGCAUCCCGCCUGGGGAGUACGAGCGCAAGCUUAAAACUCAAAGGAAUAGACGGGGACCCGCACAAGCGGUGGAGCAUGUGGUUUAAUUCGACGAUAAACGAAGAACCUCACCAAGGUUUGACAUCUAGCUGCAUGUCCUGGAAACAGGAAGGCCUUCGAGGGUGCUAGACAGAUGCUGCAUGGUUGCCGUCAGUUCGUGUCGUGAGAUGUACCGUUAAGUCGGAAAACGAACGCAACCCUUAUCUCAUGUUUUAUAUGUCAUGAGAGACUGCCCGUUUUAAAUGGGAGGAAGGUGGGGAUGACGUCAAAUCAGCAUGGUUCUUACGCCUUGGGCUACACACGUGCUACAAUGGUAAAUACAAAGGGACGCCAAACCGCGAGGUGGAGCAAAUCCCUAAAAAUUUAUCUCAGUUCGGAUUGAAGUCUGCAACUGACUUCAUGAAGUUGGAAUCGCUAGUAAUCGUAGGUCAGCUAUACUACGGUGAAUACGUUCUCGGGUCUUGUACUCACCGCCCGUCAAGUCAAGGGAGUUGGCAGUACCCGAAGUCCCCUUUUAGGGGCCGAAGGUAAGGCUGGCGACAAGGACUAAGUCGUAACAAGGCAUCCGUAGCGGAAGCUGUGGAUGGAUCACCUCCUUUCUAGGGA